AGUACUAUUAGAACUUCUAUACUGAAUCAGCGGCACUUAUUUAGGACGAAGGAAGUAUUUUAUUAUAACUUUAUAUCAAAUCGGCAACAUUUAUUUUGGGACGAAGGAGUAUUUUAUUUCUACAGGCACAUAAUCCUUCUCCUAUGCAAUCAUCACCUCUAGGUUCUAGUACAUUCCACUCAGUAUCUAGUUUUUCUAUUCUUUUUGUUUGUUUGUUCGUUAAUGAAUCUUGUAUUGUACUCUACUACUCUUGUUCAAAAAUAAUACGUAUUAGUCAAAUCCACGAGAGGGCACAAUGGACAGGAGGAUAUGUAAUGACUACUGUUUGCAAAGCCUAGUUUGCAAACAAAUUAAAAUGUUGCCAUAUCAUCCUGACUUAUUGCUGCACAAUUCACUUUAUUUCCUAUCCCCGGGAAAAAAAAUCAACCAGCCUUCUACCACUUUCCAUUACUUUGACAUAACGAUAGUACAUCAGUCCGAGGAACAGCAACCGAAAGGAAACAUGAAAGGGAAUAAGCGAGUCCAAAGCAUCGAAGGAAAACCCACCAUGAGGGCCGUCAUCGAGCAACUCACCGUGGGGCGAAAACUCAACGACACCUUCUCACUACCAAAGCUAGUCUAAAGCAAGGGCAAGUCUAAGAGGAGACCACUCCAAAAGUAAUCAGACUCACAUGAGGCAAAGGUAAGCUCACGCAGGAGCAGCACUAUCAAAGCACUAAUGCAAAAAUAGAUCAGUCGACCUUCAUCAAAUCGGAUGCCGCACAGAUCCUCAUCAAGUUUGUUGCAGCGGUCUUUAGCAUCUUAGUCCCAGGUUCCAUGGUCUCCCGGUCCUCUUCAGCGAACAAACCUGCCCAAUACAAAGAAAACCACACGCAGAGAACACCACAUAAAAACCAGUCAUCCAUUUUUUGUUCUCAAAGGUGGCUCUGUUAUGACUAUUCCAUAUGGUCCAGCACAUCGCUGCAAGCCAAACGUAUAGAAUGUCACACCAUCAGGUAAGAAAACAUAACACCAUGAAAAAUAUUGCCAAAUCCGUCCCAAGAACACAUGUCACUAUCCUCCACACAACUCUAGCAACUAGACAGGUAAAGAAAAGGUGUUCAGAGGUUUCCCUGUCAGCACAGAAAGAGCAUUUAGGAGCUCCCUAAAAUAGCGUCCCUUGGGGACGAACCAACGCUAAAAUCGUCUUGGGCCCCGGGGGGGGGGGGGGGUCUCGUCUUUCCUGUCGCCCCUCCAGACACAUUUUUCAAAUUUAUUUUAGAUCAAAUUCAAAGAAAUUGACUCGAUUUUGUACGAAAUUUAUUUGAUUUCAUUUAAAUUUGUUGGCGGCUGGAAGUGAUGGUUGUUGGUGCCCCUCGUUUAUAACAAGGUUGCCGCCACGGCUGCGACGGCACUCCGACGUCUCUUGGGGCUCGGCCUUCACGGUGGCGAGCUGCGGCGGUGUGCCGGAGGAGCAGGAGGAGGACGACCCCGCCAUUCGCGUCGGCAGCCACGAGCUCCCGCUCGGGCGUGAGAGCGACGACGUUGGUACUCCAGCGGCAGCUCGUUGCAGCCCUCCAUGUGCUCGAGGACGUCGUGGACAGUGCGCCCGGAGACUCUCGGCUUUCCAGUCGCCCCUCCAGACGCAUUUUUCAAAUUUAUUUUGGAUCAAAUUCAAAGAAAUUGACUCGAUUUUGGAUGAAAUUUAUUUGAUUUCAUUUAAAUUUGUUGGCGGCGGGAAGUGAUGGUUGGUGGCGGCCCUUGUUUAUAACGAGGUUGCCGUCACGGCUGCGAUGGCGCUCCGACGUCUCUUGGGGCUCGGCCUUCACGGUGGCGAGCGGCGACGGUGUGCCUGAGGAGCAGGAGGAGGACGACCCCGCCAUUCGCCUCGGCAGCCACGAGCUCCCGCUCCGGCGUGAGAGCGACGGCGCUGGGUACUCCAGCGGCGGCUCGUUGCAGCCCUCGAUGUGCUCGAGGACGGCGUGGACAGUGCGCCCGGAGACUCCCCACCAUGGACGGCUAUCGUCGGAGUUGUGGCACCCUUGGAGCCUGAAACCCGUUGGUGGAGGCGAGCUGGUCGUCGUGGCGGCGCUGGAAGUACGCCGUCUAGAGAUGGAAGUUGUUGACGGCGUACCUUUCUUCCUCUCACGCAUGCUCCAACAGGGACGCCCGGAUGCGCGCGAUCUCGCCGUGGCGAUCCGCGGCGGAUGGUGGAGGGGGCAUGGGGACGACUCCGACGCUCAGUCUCCAGGCGCCCGGCACGCGCAUGUUUGGCGGCGUCGGUUAGUUGGCCUCGUGAAGGGUGUGCGCCUCCCACUCGUUUGCGACUGGUGGCCGAAGUCGUUGACAACCACUCCGUCACCGGGGAACCGCUCCGCCAUGAACUCGGGAAAGUUUUCCGACGGUGGAGGCGAGAGAGAUGGGAGAAGAGGAUGAAGGGGCGAGUCUGCCGCGAGCGGCGGCAGCGCGCGACUUUUAUAGCGGGGAAGGGGCGGGAACGGUGUGCACACAUGGCGGGAAAAGGGCGAGACGCGCGACGACGUGUCAUCACUGCGAUGCCACACCUUGAAAUCCGACGCAUGGAACCGGCACGGGAGCCAAGGUGAUGAGUAGGGCGAAGUUCUCUACAACACUCAGUCUUGCUGAAUCGGCGGGUCCACACAAGAGAAAUUUGGCACCCAAACCAGUGAAAAACGAAGUUCUCUACAACACUCAGUCUUGCUGAAUCGGCGGGUCCACACAAGAGAAAUUUGGCACCCAAACCAGUGAAAAACGAGGUCUGGGACGUGACUAGGCGGAUUUUUUAGCGUCAACAACAAAAAAGGGGCUGGGGGGCUGUGCUGGAGAUGCCCUUAGGAUCCCAUCUUGGAAUAAUUGCCACAAGAAAAUUUGAAUUCUUAGUGAGCUUUUUGCCUGCCAAAUCCAUCUAUAAUCUCAUCCAGACAAGUUUCUUUCCAGAUGUUCACAGAUUGAUUGGGUAGUAAAUCGGUAUUUCCCAACGUCCAGAUAAUCUGGUCAGGUUCUUUAGAUAGAUUCCAGGAUCCAACCACCUUACAAAAGAGAGAUGAUGUAUGCCCAGCAAAUUACACAACGUAAUACGGGAUGUAAAUAUGUUAACCAGGCAGCUGGAAUCGCAGAGUCAUAGGAUCAUUCCAGAUAACACAAUUUACUACAAACAAGUGCUAUUCCUCCUAACAUAACAUAACUUAUAAUAUGUGUGGGAUGCAGUCUGAGCUCUGAAAUCUGACAGAUAUAAUGAAUAAAAUACAUGUGAGAUUCCCGUGUUCCUAUCCUGCCUCGCCGCGCCGCCCGUAAAUGACAAGAAAAGAACAGGCAAAAAAUUAACCAUCCUCUAUUCGAAAAUCUUCUCACCAGUUGAGAAGACCAAGAAAAUGACUGAACUAAAAAUACAGAGGUAUGCUGGAACAAAGAAGACUGUUUUCCAGGUUUCCGAGUUGGUUAGAUCCAUGUUAGAAGCCUUUGCAGCCUCCAGAAUAUUUCCCGUGAGGCCAACGCCAACUAUCCCGGCCAAUGUCCCAGCCGUAUUUGAAACCCCCAUCACUAUGCCGGCGAACUUUGGAGCAACAUCCAUGUGAUUCACAGCAAACCCUGCUCUUCCUAGAGCAAGAAAACCAAGGGAUACCGACGAACAGAUCACAGUCCCUGAGGGCGUCCCGAAUGAAGGAAGGGCCAUGAGUGCAACAGCUGAGACAACAAACCCAAUGGUGUUAAGGAGCUUCCUUGUCUUGGUAACUGAUAAGAUCCUUUUUGUUAUCAAGUGAUCAGCAACCACUCCACCAAUGUUGGAGAAUAUAAACAUGUUGAAAUAGGGAAGCAUCUUUGACGAUCCCAUAUCCUGGAGGCUAAGCUUAAGGGCUAGUUCGAAGUAGGUAGGCAGCCAGUUCAUGAUAACAUACAAGGCAUAGUGGAAGGUGAAGUUGUUCACGACAAUUGCCCAAACAGGUAGACUGAAGAUAAUCCUUCGCCAUGGUAUCUUUACAGUUCGAGGUGCAACAACCCCCACUGAUUGCGCCUUAAUCUUCUCCCGAGAUGCUACUUUUGGCAUUGCCACUUUUGGAAGGUCGGUGCGAGGUGGCUCACUUGAGAACUUCAACCAUAUUACAGACCAUGCCACUCCAAGUACUGCUUCAACCAAACAUACAGAUUGGGGUCCCAUGUGCUUUACAAGACUUGGAAAAAACAACAUGCCACAAGCUGCCCCAAGGUACAUCCCUGAGGUUGUUAAUGACACUGAGCGAGAGCGCUCCUGCGGUGGCACCCAUUGUGCCAGGACUGUGUGAAUGGCAGGAAAUAUGAAACCUUGUGCUACACCAACAAAAAGGCGAGAAAGGACCAGAAUGGCUGCUCUGUUGGGGUCCAGUGGAAUUAGACCGCAUAUCAAAGACCACAACAGGAAUGACAGCAGCAGAACACGUCUCCCUCCCAAUCUCUGAGCUGCCCAUCCACCAGGAAUUUGCGACAGAACAUAACCAUAAUAGAACAUGGAGAGUAUCAGGCCCUUGUUUGCUUGAUUCACAUUGAUUGCAUCAGCUGCUACGGUGUAGGCGAUCGAGAAACCCACACGCUCAAUAUAACAAACGUUUGUGCAGAUGAAUGUCAGCAAUACUAUGACAUAACGCUUUGGGAUCUUCAUUCUCGCCAUCACUAAUCAGAGACGAACCACAAAGUGUUGUAGCAGUCUUAAUCAGGGCGCCACUUGUUGACCUCCCACGAAUAUUUACCAGGGUUUACCAUAAACCUGUCUUUCUUCCUUCCAUCUCUAGGGGUACUAAGAUCUGAAACAGACAAAAUAUUGAUCAUUCACUGGUAUGAAACAAUAUGGGCUUCUUCAGCUGCGCUCCAUAUAUCCAUAGCAGUUUACUGAUCUCAUAAGCAAUUUAACAGAGACAAAUCACUAUACGGUGCACAUUAACUCGAGGGACCUGCUCAAUGGAGACGGAAAAACCAACAUCGCUCAGUCAGAUCAUAGAUGAAUCAAGGCAUGAAUAUUACAGUUACCAUUAUGCAAUUUGAGAAAAAGAUUCAGAAUCCUAAACUAUCAUCAACUAUUCUUUAAGUGUAAACUGCAAUUAGCAGGACACAUGGUUUACACCUGUCACAACCUUUACAUUCCAAGAGAAAGAAAGAAAGAAAGCAUUCCAACACAGUCAGAACUUUGAAGGAAACAUGCUAAUCUAGAUGAUUGAACAGGCCCAUCGAGACCUAGUAUAUUUUACACGGACUGAACUUGAUCUUACACAUAUCCUUGUACCAAAUCGUAAUGCGGAGUGUUCUCCUCAGGCACGACAUAACCAAGCUUGGACGCACAACUGAACUGCAAGCAAGAACAAACUAAACCGCCGGUCCCAAUAAAUGAAACCAAGUACCCGUGCGGUCCACAGAGGAACACGCAAUGCCGACACAUUUGCACUGAUGAAAGAGAUUUGAGGAAGCAGGAUCAGAUCUCAAUCAGAAAAAAAAAUCCAGCUUUCGCACAGAUCAGAUGUGAACUCGCGAGAUCUUCACUGAAAACCUGCGGCAUUCGCCACCAACCACCAGAGCCGGACCAGAUCGCGCGGAGAUCUGAUCCCCGAAACGCCAAAUCCCCAGCCCCGAAACCCCCAAUGAGCACCCCUGGCACAUCAUCGGUCCUACAGACCAUCCACAAGUCCAGCAGCAGCGCAUCACAGCUAAAUACUAGUAAUACCAAUCAAAGAAAAAAGCGAUUUUCUUCACUAACCUACUGUGAUUCAGCCGAGAUGCGAGGUGGUCGGGGAGGCAGAGGAGGCCACACAGCGUCCGGUGGUCGGGGAGCGCGGCGGAGGAGUGGAGGCUGGUGAAAGGCGAUUCAAGGCGGGCCGCGGCGGUGGGGGAGGGAGGGCUGCCGCCGGCGGAGGAGCUGCGGCGCGCCGUCUCCGAUGGAUCUGGA
This 5908-nucleotide long non-coding RNA is filed under the name Hordeum vulgare. Its description in RNAcentral is "long non-coding RNA (HVUL_LNC008120)". The record is from RNAcentral. Lineage: Eukaryota; Viridiplantae; Streptophyta; Magnoliopsida; Poales; Poaceae.